RNAcentral lists this ribosomal RNA (253 nucleotides) under uncultured bacterium. RNAcentral describes it as "partial 16S ribosomal RNA". It matches the Rfam family "Bacterial small subunit ribosomal RNA", at positions 524 to 776 of the family's 1533-position model. The record is from RNAcentral.
UACGGAGGGAGCUAGCGUUGUUCGGAAUUACUGGGCAUAAAGCGCACGUAGGCGGCUUUGUAAGUUAGAGGUGAAAGCCCGGGGCUCAACCCCGGAAUUGCCUUUAAGACUGCAUCGCUUGAAUCCGGGAGAGGUGAGUGGAAUUCCGAGUGUAGAGGUGAAAUUCGUAGAUAUUCGGAAGAACACCAGUGGCGAAGGCGGCUCACUGGACCGGUAUUGACGCUGAGGUGCGAAAGCGUGGGGAGCAAACAGG